AGGCCUGUUCACCACCAAAUUAAUCAGGACAUACUACAGAGGAUUACAGAAUGGGUAAAAAGGAAGGGACCACAGAGGCUCAUCUGGUCCAACUUUCCAUCCAAGCAAGUUCUAUCACUGUCCUAUCACAUGUAAAGCUCAAACAACACCACCCAGACCCCCAAGGCAUUUAAAAUGAAAUAAAAAUAUGAAGUAAAAAUAUGAAUGUUGUUAACAGCACACAGCAAACCAAAGGUAGAUUCUGAGAUGGAAUAAAUCAGCCUUGGAGUGAUCACAACUUACCCUUAGCUGGUAAAUCUUAAUCACUAGCAGUGCAAAUAAAAAAGGAAAGAGGUGGCAUCGCAGGAAGCACCUUGCAGAAAUUGUACCUCAUUACUACAUGAGAAGGCAGUAAAUGAGGUAUAUACAAUCAGCUUUGGACAACUUCAUCUUCAAAAUGCAGAGGUAAGUAUUAAAAUCUAGAACUGGCUUUCCUUAAUAACAUUUUUAAACAGGCUGUUUGACUUCAUUCAAAACUAACUCUCUUUAAAACUGUU
Molecule: long non-coding RNA, 536 nt
Organism: Serinus canaria (Common canary)
Lineage: Eukaryota; Metazoa; Chordata; Aves; Passeriformes; Fringillidae
Exons: 3
Source: RefSeq, a predicted model, not a curated record